GAUGAACGCUGGCGGCGCGCCUAACACAUGCAAGUCGAACGGCACCCCUCCUCGGAGGGAAGCGAGUGGCGACCGGCUGAGUAACACGUGGAGAACCUGCCCCCUCCCCCGGGAUAGCCGCCCGAAAGGACGGGUAAUACCGGAUACCCCGGGGUGCCGCAUGGCACCCCGGCUAAAGCCCCGACGGGAGGGGAUGGCUCCGCGGCCCAUCAGGUAGACGGCGGGGUGACGGCCCACCGUGCCGACAACGGGUAGCCGGGUUGAGAGACCGACCGGCCAGAUGGGGACUGAGACACGGCCCAGACUCCUACGGGAGGCAGCAGUGGGGAAUCUUGCGCAAGGGGGGGAACCCGGACGCAGCGACGCCGCGUGCGGGACGGAGGCCUUCGGGUCGUAAACCGCUUUCAGCAGGGAAGAGUCAAGACUGUACCUGCAGAAGAAGCCCCGGCUAACUACGUG
This 459-nucleotide ribosomal RNA is filed under the name uncultured bacterium. RNAcentral's name for it is "partial 16S ribosomal RNA". It matches the Rfam family "Bacterial small subunit ribosomal RNA", at positions 28 to 507 of the family's 1533-position model. The record is from RNAcentral.